UGGGGAAUAUUGGACAAUGGGCGAAAGCCUGAUCCAGCCAUGCCGCGUGUGUGAAGAAGGCCUUUUGGUUGUAAAGCACUUUAAGCGAGGAGGAGGCUACUUGGAUUAAUACUCUAGGAUAGUGGACGUUACUCGCAGAAUAAGCACCGGCUAACUCUGUGCCAGCAGCCGCGGUAAUACUGAGGGUGCGAGCGUUAAUCGGAUUUACUGGGCGUAAAGCGUGCGUAGGCGGCUUUUUAAGUCGGAUGUGAAAUCCCUGAGCUUAACUUAGGAAUUGCAUUCGAUACUGGGAAGCUAGAGUAUGGGAGAGGAUGGUAGAAUUCCAGGUGUAGCGGUGAAAUGCGUAGAGAUCUGGAGGAAUACCGAUGGCGAAGGCAGCCAUCUGGCCUAAUACUGACGCUGAGGUACGAAAGCAUGGGGAGCAAACAGG
RNAcentral lists this ribosomal RNA (430 nucleotides) under Acidobacteriota bacterium. RNAcentral describes it as "Acidobacteria bacterium partial 16S ribosomal RNA". It matches the Rfam family "Bacterial small subunit ribosomal RNA", at positions 355 to 776 of the family's 1533-position model. Lineage: Bacteria; Pseudomonadati; Acidobacteriota. The record is from RNAcentral.